AUUGAACGCUGGCGGCAGGCUUAACACAUGCAAGUCGAGCGGAGAGAGGUAGCUUGCUACUGAUCUUAGCGGCGGACGGGUGAGUAAUGCUUAGGAAUCUGCCUAUUAGUGGGGGACAACAUUUCGAAAGGAAUGCUAAUACCGCAUACGUCCUACGGGAGAAAGCAGGGGAUCUUCGGACCUUGCGCUAAUAGAUGAGCCUAAGUCGGAUUAGCUAGUUAGUGGGGUAAAGGCCUACCAAGGCGACGAUCUGUAGCGGGUCUGAGAGGAUGAUCCGCCACACUGGGACUGAGACAAGGCCCAGACUCCUACGGGAGGCAGCAGUGGGGAAUAUUGGACAAUGGGCGGAAGCCUGAUCCAGCCAUGCCGCGUGUGUGAAGAAGGCCUUAUGGUUGUAAAGCACUUUAAGCGAGGAGGAGGCUACUUUAGUUAAUACCUAGAGAUAGUGGACGUUACUCGCAGAAUAAGCACCGGCUAACUCUGUGCCAGCCGCCGCAGUAA
Molecule: ribosomal RNA, 501 nt
Filed under: uncultured bacterium
Lineage: Bacteria
Description: partial 16S ribosomal RNA
Rfam family: Bacterial small subunit ribosomal RNA
Source: RNAcentral